RNAcentral lists this ribosomal RNA (1341 nucleotides) under uncultured bacterium. Its description in RNAcentral is "partial 16S ribosomal RNA". It matches the Rfam family "Bacterial small subunit ribosomal RNA", at positions 28 to 1381 of the family's 1533-position model. The record is from RNAcentral.
GACGAACGCUGGCGGCGUGCUUAACACAUGCAAGUCGAACGGUAAGGCUCCAGCUUGCUGGGGUACACGAGUGGCGAACGGGUGAGUAACACGUGGGUGACCUGCCCUGCACUUCGGGAUAAGCCUGGGAAACUGGGUCUAAUACCGGAUAGGACCGCACCGUGAGGGUGUGGUGGAAAGUUUUUUCGGUGUGGGAUGGGCCCGCGGCCUAUCAGCUUGUUGGUGGGGUAAUGGCCUACCAAGGCGGCGACGGGUAGCCGGCCUGAGAGGGUGGACGGCCACAUUGGGACUGAGACACGGCCCAGACUCCUACGGGAGGCAGCAGUGGGGAAUAUUGCACAAUGGGCGGAAGCCUGAUGCAGCGACGCCGCGUGGGGGAUGACGGCCUUCGGGUUGUAAACUCCUUUCACCAUCGACGAAGGGUUUCUGACGGUAGAUGGAGAAGAAGCACCGGCUAACUACGUGCCAGCAGCCGCGGUAAUACGUAGGGUGCGAGCGUUGUCCGGAAUUACUGGGCGUAAAGAGCUCGUAGGUGGUUUGUCGCGUCGUCUGUGAAAUUCCGGGGCUUAACUCCGGGCGUGCAGGCGAUACGGGCAUAACUUGAGUACUGUAGGGGAGACUGGAAUUCCUGGUGUAGCGGUGAAAUGCGCAGAUAUCAGGAGGAACACCGGUGGCGAAGGCGGGUCUCUGGGCAGUAACUGACGCUGAGGAGCGAAAGCAUGGGGAGCGAACAGGAUUAGAUACCCUGGUAGUCCAUGCCGUAAACGGUGGGCGCUAGGUGUGGGUUUCCUUCCACGGGAUCCGUGCCGUAGCUAACGCAUUAAGCGCCCCGCCCGGGGAGUACGGCCGCAAGGCUAAAACUCAAAGGAAUUGACGGGGGCCCGCACAAGCGGCGGAGCAUGUGGAUUAAUUCGAUGCAACGCGAAGAACCUUACCUGGGCUUGACAUAUACAGGAUCGCGCCAGAGAUGGUGUUUCCCUUGUGGCUUGUAUACAGGUGGUGCAUGGUUGUCGUCAGCUCGUGUCGUGAGAUGUUGGGUUAAGUCCCGCAACGAGCGCAACCCUUGUCUUAUGUUGCCAGCACGUUGUGGUGGGGACUCGUAAGAAACUGCCGGGGUUAACUCGGAGGAAGGUGGGGAUGACGUCAAAUCAUCAUGCCCCUUAUGUCCAGGGCUUCACACAUGCUACAAUGGUCGGUACAGUGGGUUGCCAGUCCGUGAGGGCGAGCUAAUCCCGCAAAGCCGGUCUCAGUUCGGAUCGGGGUCUGCAACUCGACCCCGUGAAGUCGGAGUCGCUAGUAAUCGCAGAUCAGCAACGCUGCGGUGAAUACGUUCCCGGGCCU